UAGACUCUAGACUGAGCUGCCUUGGU
RNAcentral lists this non-coding RNA (26 nucleotides) under Homo sapiens (human). The record is from RNAcentral. Lineage: Eukaryota; Metazoa; Chordata; Mammalia; Primates; Hominidae.